GACAGAAGACACAACACCUCCUACUGGGACACCUAGAGGUUUAACGGCUUGUGGCACAUGUUAAGUGCCAUCGAGUUUACCUGCGAAAGUAGUUUAGUUAGUUUUUGUUUUGUUUUGUUUCUGUUUUAAUUUCUUAUUUUGCUCGAGGACUAGGAAAAAAUAGGUUUUAGAUAGUUUGACAAGUGCAUUUUUUCCUAUAUUUUUAUACCUCUUAUAUUUGGUUUUUGUGUGAAAGUUAAUUAAAAAGAGC
This 250-nucleotide long non-coding RNA is filed under the name Prunus persica (peach). Its description in RNAcentral is "long non-coding RNA (PPER_LNC003433)". The record is from RNAcentral. Lineage: Eukaryota; Viridiplantae; Streptophyta; Magnoliopsida; Rosales; Rosaceae.